This is a long non-coding RNA of Myxocyprinus asiaticus (Chinese sucker), 502 nucleotides long. RefSeq lists it as uncharacterized. The record is from RefSeq and is a predicted model, not a curated record. NCBI's taxonomy places the organism in Eukaryota, Metazoa, Chordata, Actinopteri, Cypriniformes, Catostomidae. The transcript is spliced from 4 exons.
AGAGCGAUAGCACUGCAUUCUGUUCCAUUCCGAUGCACUUCGUCUUGCCGUUUUUGAACAUGAAAACUGACAACAUCUUCUAAGUGAGUUAUGGGUGUAGAUGGUGUGCCAGUCUCAAUGCUAGUGGAUAUGUAGCCACACCAGGGGCUGUACCACUAUGACAACACUGCCAAUCAACCAAGAAGAGGCAUCGUGUUUUUGUGUAUUGGGUAACAAUGCAGAUGCUCACAGCCACUGUUGAAAUGAAGUAAAAAAAAAUCCCAGUUUUUCCAUGCGGUCUCGGGCUUUUGCACACCACGGUGAACCACACACCUCAGAGGAUUAGCAAACACUCCUUCGCCAACUUAAGGAAUGCCCAACUGAAGACGGACAAACAACAAUAAAUAACACUAACUAACCAUAAUUUAACCACUGCAAUAAACUGAAACAUCAGUGAUACGGUCAUUUGCAUGUUUAACCCAUUACAAAGAAAAAACAACAACAAAUAAAAUAUAUUACACAA